RNAcentral lists this non-coding RNA (33 nucleotides) under Trypanosoma brucei brucei. The record is from RNAcentral. Lineage: Eukaryota; Euglenozoa; Kinetoplastea; Trypanosomatida; Trypanosomatidae.
AAACUAAAUCAAUAAAGUGUCGAUGUAGAUAAU